Molecule: long non-coding RNA, 1467 nt
Organism: Austrofundulus limnaeus
Lineage: Eukaryota; Metazoa; Chordata; Actinopteri; Cyprinodontiformes; Rivulidae
Exons: 3
Source: RefSeq, a predicted model, not a curated record
GUCACAAGUUUUCAUUUCUCAUUCAUGGUCAGAGCUGGUAUCUUGUCAUUUUCUGAGAUUUCAUAAUGCAAAGAUCUUGCGUAAGGGAUUAUUUUGUGAGAUUGAGCUGGUCUUAAUUUCAUAGAGUGAGUUCUUACACUCUGUUGCAGCUCUCCAAUGCCUCUCCCUCGCAGGAAGGACCUUCUGUCACAGCUGGGGGGUCGGAUCUUGCAUCCCAAUCCCAGUCACCUCCAGCUCUGGGUUUGGCCACUUCGAGGUCCGGCAUCUCCUUCUCAGAUUAUGACGGAGAUGUCGAGCAUACAAUGACUAACGCCAAGGCCCCUUCGACACGACUGGUGUACACUCAUAAGUGGAAAGUUUUUGACAGUUGGUAUCGUGCUAGACAUAUGGAUCCAGUACGCUGUUCUAUUUCAUUUAUUUUAACCUUCCUUCAAGCACUGCUUUCUCAAGGUCGGUCUCCGUCCACUCUGAAAGUUUAUGUAGCUGCUAUCUCUUGUUGGCAUGUGGUGGUGGAUGGUGAGACAAUAGGCCGUAAUAAGAAUGCUUCUUUGUUUCUGAGGGGUGCCCGGCGCCUGCACCCUCCCUUACGCCCUGUUGUACCUGUGUGGGACCUCUCUCUCUCUUCUUCACUGCACUGCAAUCUCCCCCGUUUGAGCCCUUGGCGGAGGUGAGCCUUGAGUAUUUGUCAUAAAAGACUGCCUUUCUCCUUGCCAUGGCUUUGGCGAAGCGGAUGGGUGAACUACAUGCGCUGUCUGUUCACGAGUCCUGUUGCCGUUGGAACCCAGCUGGCUCUGGCAUUUCUCUUUGGCCUGACGUGACAUUUCUUCCUAAGGUAGCCUCAUCUGCGAGCCACUCUGUGCCCCUCCAACUUGCUCGCUUUGACACAGGUGGGCCUGAUGAACUUCUCUGCCCUGUUCGGGCACUGGAAGCAUAUGUCAGACUGAUAUCUUUUCUGCGGCAGUCUGAUAGUCUGUUUGUUUGCCAUGCAGGGCCAUGCAAGGGGCAGGCCAUUUCCAAACAGCGUUGGAUUGUGGAGGUGGUGGAACAAGCGUACGUUCUACAGGGCCACCAACCUCCUGCUGGUGUACGGUGCCAUUCCACCAGGAGCAUUAGUGCAUCAUGGGCCGCUAUGACUGGCGUCACUCUGGAGGCUAUCUGUGCAGCACCCUCCUGGUCAUCUCCGAAUACUUUUGCUAGAUUUUACAGGGUAAACCUGGCUGCCUUUCACCCGCUGGAGGGGAUCCUGUCCCAGCGCUCGUCAUCCCAGUGAGACCAAUGAUGUUAUUGCCAUGAGGACUGCUGUGCUGCGAUGUCCACCAGUUUUUCUCGGGGAUGGUGGAAGAGAGUUUUACAACGUCUCUUUUGAUUCAGAUGCCAUGGCAGACUUCACGUUCCUGUGGGGUUAUUGACAGUUGUUCCUGAAGUCAGUCAGCAGCCACGUCCAAAUGCUCUACACCUUGAACCAUC